GGGUAUUAUUGGUGUUAACAUUAUUAUUGCUUUUCAAAGUGUCCUUUUCCAUCUUUUGUUGCACACCUGAAACUUCAACUCGCGGAAGAAAUCUGUUAUUCUCAAAUGAAUUUAACACCUGGGAAAGCUCAUUUUUUCUCGAAAGCUCAUUUUUUCUCAGACGAAAGUGUGUUACCCAGAUUUUGACAUUAUAAACACGGUGAAUCACAACAAAAUUUGCUUCGUUAAGUCCUCAGGCAAGGCACUAUGCGAAUCUAGGUCAGAUUUUCAGCUGAAUGUUGACAUUUCAAAGCUUACAUCCUCGACUCUCAUGUCAGAUUCAGAUCUUUUAUAUCAUGAAACUGAUCCUUGUAUUCUAUAAUCAGCAAGGAAAUUGACCAAUUUCCCUCUAUAGCCGCGUAAAUCUCUUCAAAAUGUAUCUGCGAAACUUAAAUUCUGUGACCGUCUAUCUAUAAAUCUCAAUGGGAUAUAGCCAAUUUUCACAAGUUACAAUCUGCCACCAAGAAAUUCCUUGUGAAAGCACCUUCACAUCCCCGAAAAUGUACCUGCAGAUCCUCAGCAUUGAUUUGCUCAAUUCUCGUCAAGUUUCACCCAAAUAUCUCUGUUUGGUUACCCGGAAAGAGGAGAAAGAAAAAGCAAGAAAAUUCGCAGAGAAAACCAGAGAGAGAAGAGCGAAGAGAUAACCACCAAUACUGCAAGCAGAUUCUUU
Molecule: unclassified non-coding RNA, 709 nt
Filed under: Hevea brasiliensis (rubber tree)
Lineage: Eukaryota; Viridiplantae; Streptophyta; Magnoliopsida; Malpighiales; Euphorbiaceae
Source: RNAcentral